GGGCAGAUGUAAGAAUGAAAGAUCCAGGACAGCAAAUGUAGGCAAGUCCUCUGUGUGGGUGAGGAGAGCCGAGAAGCAGAUGGGAACCCGGGAGUAUAUUCAUCUAAAGCAGUUAUUUCCUGGCAUCAUCACCACAAGCUCAGCUCAUCCUCCCCAAAGCUCACAAAGGCCCAUCCAACCAUUGUUAAGAGCUAGACACUCCUAUGGAUUUGAGAGAAGGAGAAAGCUUGUCCGUGAGCUGCAAUUCCCGCCUCUCCUGUGGAUUUCCAGCAACCAAUAUGGAGGCCCAUUUACAAUCAAAAGAAAGAAGACAAACAGCAACAGACAACCAAAAUGGCUGAGGUAUGUUUCCUUUUCUUAAACAUCAGCCUUUUAAAAUAAAUAAAUGAAGAUUCACUCUUUUUUAUUUAACCCCUCUCCCAAUGGAUGUUAAUCUCUCCCUCUUACUCUGAACCAAAAUUUUGCCUAUCCAGAAUUUUUUCCCCCCAGGGGCACAUCCCCACAUUCCAAAGAGUCCAUACAACACUUUCUCAAUAAAAGCAUUAUAUGUGAUAAAGUCACAGGAGUCUGAGCAAUCAAAGCUUGUAAAGAUGUGCUGACCUUGAUGUUGCCAUGGAUCUUUGUUCCCUUCCCAGAGGGACUUCAGGGCUUUUUAAAGCUAUUCCCGGGGAAGGUAGUGGUUGGGGACAGAUUUCCUACCCACAUAGUUGGGAGGCAUAGGGAAAUCCUACUGAGAGCUACCUGAA
Long non-coding RNA from Dermochelys coriacea (leatherback sea turtle), 746 nucleotides. RefSeq lists it as uncharacterized. The record is from RefSeq and is a predicted model, not a curated record. The transcript has 3 exons. Lineage: Eukaryota; Metazoa; Chordata; Testudines; Dermochelyidae.